UACGGGGGGGGCAAGCGUUGUUCGGAAUUACUGGGCGUAAAGGGCUCGUAGGCGGCCAACUAAGUCAGACGUGAAAUCCCCAGGCUCAACUUGGGAACUGCGUCUGAUACUGGAUGGCUUGAAUCCGGGAGAGGGAUGCAGAAUUCCAGGUGUAGCGGUGAAAUGCGUAGAUAUCUGGAGGAAUACCGGUGGCGAAGGCGGCAUCCUGGACCGGGAUUGACACUGAGGAGCGAAAGCUAGGGGAGCAAACGGG
RNAcentral lists this ribosomal RNA (253 nucleotides) under uncultured bacterium. RNAcentral describes it as "partial 16S ribosomal RNA". It matches the Rfam family "Bacterial small subunit ribosomal RNA", at positions 524 to 776 of the family's 1533-position model. The record is from RNAcentral.